GACGAACGCUGGCGGCGUGCCUAACACAUGCAAGUCGAACGGAAAGGCCCUGCUUUCGUGGGGUGCCCGAGUGGCGAGCGGGUGUGUAACACGUGAGUAACCUGCCCUUUACUUUGUGAUAACUUCAGGAAACUGGGGCUAAUACCGGAUAGGAGCUCCUGCUGCAUGGUGGGGGUCGGAAAGCUUCGGCGGUUGGGGAUGGACGUGCGGCUUACUAGCUUGUUGGUGGGGUAGUGGCCUACCAAGGCUUUGACGGGUAGCCGGCCUGAGAGGGUGAACGGCCACAUUGGGACUGAGAUACGGCCCAGACUCCUACGGGAGGCAGCAGUGGGGAAUAUUGCACAGUGGGCGGAAGCCUGAUGCAGCGACGCCGCGUGCGGGAUGACGGCCUUCGGGUUGUAAACCGCUUUCGCCUGUGACGAAGCGUGAGUGACGGUAAUGGGUAAAGAAGCACCGGCUAACUACGUG
Molecule: ribosomal RNA, 468 nt
Filed under: uncultured bacterium
Lineage: Bacteria
Description: partial 16S ribosomal RNA
Rfam family: Bacterial small subunit ribosomal RNA
Source: RNAcentral